AGAGUUUGAUCAUGGCUCAGAUUGAACGCUGGCGGUAGGCUUAACACAUGCAAGUCGUGCGAGAAAGUAUCUUCGGAUAUGAGUAGAGCGGCGGACGGGUGAGUAACGCGUAGGAAUCUACCUAGUAGAAGGGGAUAGCCCGGGGAAACCCGGAUUAAUACCGUAUACCUCCUUUGGGAGAAAGAAGGCCUCUCUUUGAAGCUUUCGCUACUAGAUGAGCCUGCGUAAGAUUAGCUUGUUGGUGAGGUAAAGGCUCACCAAGGCUACGAUCUUUAGCUGGUCUGAGAGGACGAUCAGCCACAUUGGGACUNANCNCNCGNCCCAGACUCCUACGGGAGGCAGCAGUGGGGAAUAUUGGACAAUGGGCGCAAGCCUGACGGAGCAAUACCGCGUGAGGGAAGACGUCC
RNAcentral lists this ribosomal RNA (407 nucleotides) under uncultured bacterium. RNAcentral's name for it is "bacterial SSU rRNA". It matches the Rfam family "Bacterial small subunit ribosomal RNA", at positions 8 to 416 of the family's 1533-position model. The record is from RNAcentral.